Long non-coding RNA from Dicentrarchus labrax (European seabass), 983 nucleotides. RefSeq lists it as uncharacterized. The transcript has 3 exons. Lineage: Eukaryota; Metazoa; Chordata; Actinopteri; Moronidae. The record is from RefSeq and is a predicted model, not a curated record.
GUUGAAAUUUACGUGCGGCUGGUUUGACCACGGAGAUCGGACUCACGGCUGCAUUGAGCGCAGUAACGUAAACAUGUGACUGAAGCUGUUAUGAUGUAUACAUGUGUGAAAGACCACAUCCUGACCAAAAUGCAGUCAGCGUAACUUGUGACACCUGCACAUCGUACUGGACAGUGACUUCUCACUACAUGGACAACGAGUGGUGCCUCGUGUCUCAUGUGCUACAGACCACGAGGUUCUCACGAGCAGGUCUAAAAUCCCCCCCCACUUCUCGCCCUCUGAUAUGAUGUGCAUCAGGACACAUUGUGUGCAGCAUCAGCGCUGGAUCCUCGCUGUAAGGCCCUACCAUCCCUGUCUGCUAAAGAGCGAGGUGACACCUUCUCCAGACUGCAGACCGACGCUGCCACUGCUGCACCAAAAUACUGAUGGUAAUGAUGCUGAUGAAGGAGCUGAGGAGAUGGGGGGGAAGCAACUUCACCCAAGAAGCCCAAGAAAUCCAGCACCUUGUCUCUCCUUGGGGCAGUUUACUCACCAACAGUAAAGGAACAUGGACCGAAAACUCCAGCAAUGAGGGCUGAAGAUGAAAUCAGAAGACACAGGGUGGAAAAUCCUGCUGGGCUGAAUGAAAGUCCUCUGAGCUGGUGGAGGUCAAAUGAAAGGGAGCAUCCACUGUUGGCUCGCCCUGCGAAGAUAUACCUUUGUGUCCCAGGGACCAGUGUUGCGUCAGAGCGGGUGUUUUCAACUGCGGGUGAUACUGUCACUGCAAAAAGGAGCUGCCUAACCCCAAAUCAUAUCAAUGAGUGAGAACAAAGUCACAACAACAGGACUUCAGACAGUUUAUGUUUACUUUUAGUUUCGUUACCAUUAUUAUUAUUGUUGCACUUUAAUAAACAAUGCCUUAAUGCAGUUUGCAGUGAUGAAAUGUUGUAGUUCAAGUCCACUUUCACACUUGAGCUGCAAUGGGCUGAGCAAUGUCUGGUGUG